This 301-nucleotide ribosomal RNA is filed under the name uncultured bacterium. RNAcentral describes it as "partial 16S ribosomal RNA". It matches the Rfam family "Bacterial small subunit ribosomal RNA", at positions 509 to 809 of the family's 1533-position model. The record is from RNAcentral.
CAGCAGCCGCGGGAAUACGUAGGGUGCAAGCGUUAAUCGGAAUUACUGGGCGUAAAGCGUGCGCAGGCGGUUGUGUAAGACAGGUGUGAAAUCCCCGGGCUUAACCUGGGAAUUGCAUUUGUGACUGCACGACUAGAGUGUGUCAGAGGGGGGUGGAAUUCCACGUGUAGCAGUGAAAUGCGUAGAUAUGUGGAGGAACACCAAUGGCGAAGGCAGCCCCCUGGGAUAACACUGACGCUCAUGCACGAAAGCGUGGGGAGCAAACAGGAUUAGAUACCCCCGUAGUCCCUGUCUCUUAUAU